AAUUCUCAACCAAUCCUUAUUCUUGGAUUGGAUCAGCUUGGACUUGGGAGCUUGUUGGGUCCCCCCUCAGGCUUGGCUCUCCUGAAAUGCAUUGCAUUAAGCUAACAUGCAUGGCCUCUGACAUGAUAAUGAUUGUUGUAGCUGGAGUGUGGCUUGAUUGGAUCAGCUUUAGCUACUAGUUUGUAACCUGAAUGAAUGAAUAUGAGUCUAACCUAAUA
RNAcentral lists this unclassified non-coding RNA (218 nucleotides) under uncultured Retiboletus. RNAcentral's name for it is "sequence contains ITS2". The record is from RNAcentral. Lineage: Eukaryota; Fungi; Basidiomycota; Agaricomycetes; Boletales; Boletaceae.